This 460-nucleotide ribosomal RNA is filed under the name uncultured bacterium. Its description in RNAcentral is "partial 16S ribosomal RNA". It matches the Rfam family "Bacterial small subunit ribosomal RNA", at positions 338 to 795 of the family's 1533-position model. The record is from RNAcentral.
CCUACGGGAGGCAGCAGUGAGGAAUAUUGGUCAAUGGGCGAGAGCCUGAACCAGCCAAGUCGCGUGAAGGAUGACGGCCCUACGGGUUGUAAACUUCUUUUGUCAGGGAGCAAUUGAGUCCACGUGUGGUCUUAGCGAGAGUCCCUGAAGAAAAAGCAUGGGCUAACUCCGUGCCAGCAGCCGCGGGAAUACGGAGGAUGCGAGCGUUAGCCGGAUUUAUUGGGUUUAAAGGGUGCGUAGGCGGAAUAUCAAGUCAGCGGUAAAAAUUCGGGGCUCAACCCCGCCGUGCCGUUGACACUGGUGUUCUUGAGUGGGCGAGAAGUAUGCGGAAGGCGUGGUGAAGCGGUGAAAUGCAUAGAUAUCACGAAGAACUCCGAUUGCGAAGGCAGCAUACCGGCGCCCAACUGACGCUGAAGCACGAAAGCGUGGGUAUCGAACAGGAUUAGAUACCCCAGUAGUC